RNAcentral lists this ribosomal RNA (292 nucleotides) under uncultured prokaryote. RNAcentral describes it as "partial 16S ribosomal RNA". It matches the Rfam family "Bacterial small subunit ribosomal RNA", at positions 505 to 796 of the family's 1533-position model. The record is from RNAcentral.
GUGCCAGCAGCCGCGGUAAUACAGAGGGUGCAAGCGUUAAUCGGAAUUACUGGGCGUAAAGCGAGCGUAGGUGGCUUGAUAAGUCAGAUGUGAAAGCCCCGGGCUUAACCUGGGAACGGCAUCUGAUACUGUUAGGCUAGAGUAGGUGAGAGGAAGGUAGAAUUCCAGGUGUAGCGGUGAAAUGCGUAGAGAUCUGGAGGAAUACCGAUGGCGAAGGCAGCCUUCUGGCAUCAUACUGACACUGAGGUUCGAAAGCGUGGGUAGCAAACAGGAUUAGAUACCCCCGUAGUCC